AUACGGAGGGUGCGAGCGUUAAUCGGAAUUACAGGGCGUAAAGCGUACGUAGGCGGUUUGCUAAGUCAGAUGUGAAAGCCCCGGGCUUAACCUGGGAACUGCAUUUGAUACUGGCAGACUAGAGUAUGAUAGAGGGGGGUAGAAUUCCUGGUGUAGCGGUGAAAUGCGUAGAUAUCAGGAGGAAUACCAGUGGCGAAGGUGGCCCCCUGGAUCAAUACUGACGCUGAGGUACGAAAGCGUGGGGAGCGAACAGGAUUAGAAACCCUAGUAGUCC
This 274-nucleotide ribosomal RNA is filed under the name uncultured bacterium. RNAcentral's name for it is "partial 16S ribosomal RNA". It matches the Rfam family "Bacterial small subunit ribosomal RNA", at positions 523 to 796 of the family's 1533-position model. The record is from RNAcentral.